Molecule: ribosomal RNA, 274 nt
Filed under: uncultured bacterium
Lineage: Bacteria
Description: partial 16S ribosomal RNA
Rfam family: Archaeal small subunit ribosomal RNA
Source: RNAcentral
AUACCGGCUCUCCGAGUGGUGGGGACGAUUAUUGGGCUUAAAGCGUUCGUAGCCGGCUUAACAAGUCUUCCGUUAAAUCCAACGAUCUAAUCGUUGGGCUUCGGGAGAUACUGUUGGGCUAGGAGGCGGGAGAAGCCGACGGUAUUCUCGGGGUAGGGGUGAAAUCCUGUAAUCCCGGGGGGACCACCAGUGGCGAAGGCGGUCGGCUAGAACGCGCUCGACGGUGAGGGACGAAAGCUGGGGGAGCGAACCGGAUUAGAUACCCGAGUAGUCC